AUGCCCUGCAAGUCUUA
RNAcentral lists this transfer RNA (17 nucleotides) under Dermatonotus muelleri (Mueller's termite frog). RNAcentral describes it as "partial tRNA-Ala". The record is from RNAcentral. Lineage: Eukaryota; Metazoa; Chordata; Amphibia; Anura; Microhylidae.